This 207-nucleotide ribosomal RNA is filed under the name uncultured bacterium. Its description in RNAcentral is "partial 16S ribosomal RNA". It matches the Rfam family "Bacterial small subunit ribosomal RNA", at positions 568 to 774 of the family's 1533-position model. The record is from RNAcentral.
CACGUAGGCGGCCAUUCAAGUCAGAGGUGAAAGCCCGGGGCUCAACCCCGGAACUGCCUUUGAGACUGGGUGGCUUGAAUCUUGGAGAGGCGAGUGGAAUUCCGAGUGUAGAGGUGAAAUUCGUAGAUAUUCGGAGGAACACCAGUGGCGAAGGCGGCUUACUGGUCCAUUACUGACGCUGAGGUGCGAAAGCGUGGGGAGCAAACA